GGCUUGUUGGUGUAGUUGGUUAGUAGCAUCUCUCAACGUUGUCCCACAAACUUUGUCUCACAGAAAUCAGGUUAUCACGCUUGUCUAACACUUGCAACUUAUUGUAAUGUCAGACCACAAGAGGUCGCCAGAUCGAGCCUGGCACAAGUCA
This 151-nucleotide transfer RNA is filed under the name Talaromyces rugulosus. RNAcentral's name for it is "tRNA-Val". The record is from RNAcentral. Lineage: Eukaryota; Fungi; Ascomycota; Eurotiomycetes; Eurotiales; Trichocomaceae.